This 2349-nucleotide long non-coding RNA is filed under the name Canis lupus familiaris (dog). RNAcentral's name for it is "lncRNA (ENSCAFG00040014366.1)". The stretch from base 111 to 190 matches the Rfam family "mir-203 microRNA precursor family". Lineage: Eukaryota; Metazoa; Chordata; Mammalia; Carnivora; Canidae. The record is from RNAcentral.
CUGGGCCUCGGGGCGCAGGCGGAGGGGACGCGCGCGGGACGCCCGGGCUCGCGGGGCUCGGCGGGCGGGCGGCGGGGCCGGCGGCUCUGGGGGCGCCCGCGGACUUCCCGGCGCGCUGGGUCCAGUGGUUCUUAACAGUUCAACAGUUCUGUAGCGCAAUUGUGAAAUGUUUAGGACCACUAGCCCCGGCGGGCCCGGCGGCGGCGGCCGGACGCCCACGCGCCCCUGCGAGGAGCCAGCCGGCCCGGGCGCGGGGUCCCGGGCGGGCCGGGGCGGGCCGGGGCGGGCGGCGGGCGCGGGGACCGCGGGGUGCGCAGCGGGGCGGCCCCACCCCGCGUGCGCCGGGUCCCUCCGUACCUGGUACCUGCCGGCGGCCCGCGCUCCCCGGGCUUUCGGGCUUCCCCGGCGGGGUGAGCGGGGUGAGCCGGGCAGGGGCGCGGGGGCGCGGGGCACGCGGUUGAGAGGCGACGCCCAGGCGGUGGGGACGCCCCAGCCCCGGUGGGAGGCAGGUCGGGCGCAGCCGGGGGAGCGCGGGGAAGGGCUCGGCCUCUGGGGGAGCAGGGGUGGCUGGGGCGCCCCCCAAUCCCUGCCUCCUCCGCCCAGUGUUUAGAGGAAACACAGGGCAGCCUGGACGGCAGGUCACACGGGUCUGGGUUCGAGGUCCACCAGGCCAUGCCGCGCUGGGUGCCCUUGGGCCAGUCACCUGCUGGCCCUGAGCCCCACCUGCACAUGGGUGGGAGGGAGGGGUGGAGGUGAGGCCCAGACUGCAGGACCCCUGGCUGCCGGGAGGAGGGUCCCGCCUCCAGCCAGCACCUUCUGCUUUCGCCCAGCCAACUGCUCACCACCCGCUCCGUGGGAGCGCCCUGGAGCCCCGCGCCGCCGGGCAGAGGCCACCCUGCUCUCAGGAGUCCAGAGGCUCUUGGCAGUGAUGCUGCCCCCUGACCGCGCAGCCGGUUGGCCGUGACUUAAUACGACAGCGCUCUCCGCCAUCCGCUCGGCCCAAGUGAGACCAGGGGGUGAGGGUGGGGGUGGGGGGCUCUUCUGGGGUGUCUCCUGUUCUGUAGCUCAGAGUCAUUUUGUACAGUGUGGGCACAUGACUGAUGAAAAUAAAUGUGUGUUCAAAGCUUCACCGCGUCCCCGGGGCGGUCGGUCCUUUCCUCCCCAGACCUCAUCGUGGCCCCUCCCUCUUCCUUCCAAUCCCAGAGGAAUGGAUCGUGGGUGGGGUGGCCAGGUCCCCACCCUGGGCCCGGCCCUGUGGUCUCCCACCAAGCCCCGCUGCUGGCAUCAGCCCCUCUGAUUGGGGGGUGGGGGAUCCCUGUAGGGCCCUCGAACCCUCUCCUCUCCCACCUCCCUGAGCCAGGCCUCUGGGCCACACCGUCUCCUCUGCCCUGAGCUGCGGCCUCCUGGAGCCAGGUGGAGGAGAGGAGGCCGCUCGCAGCGUCACCCUGUCCUGGCACCCCGGCCAGCUGCCACCCCGGGCGGGCCGGAGGCUCUGGCUGUGGGUGGGGGCCAGGUUGGAGGGCUGAGGGGUUGGAGUGAUGGAGGACCCUCCUCUGCUCCCCGAUCCUGACACACACGGAGAGUCCCCGGGUCUGUGGCUUCCAAUCUCAGCUCUGCCGCCUACCAGCAGGUGACCUUGGCCAGUCCCCCUGCCUCUCAGAGCGCUCAUCCCUUCCUCCUUCUAAGAGGAGUGUUGGGACCCACCUCACAGGACUUGCUGGAAAGCCCAGGAGCCACUGCGGCCAGAGCACUGAUGUGGGACAGAGCGAGGGUUCACCCCAGAGAUGGCAUUACCUCAUGGGCGGGUUGGUAUGGGGGGCCCACAGGUGGCAGUGGGCCGGGGGCUCGCAAUCGGCCCCCUCGAUCCCUGGGGCCUCCAAGACAGGCAGCUCCUACUUUGGGUCCCAGGAGUCAUUCUCUUUAGUGACAGAAGCCCCUGGGCUGUCAGCGGGAGGCUCUGCGCAGAGCAAGGUGACAGGAGAGGCAUCCGGCCCCCCGGGGACACUCGCCCCCCUUCCUCCUUGCCCUGUCCCCCCAGAACCCGGCCUGCGGUGCUGAGCCUGCUCUAGCUGUGCACACAGAGGGCCUCCCCGGACAUGGUCGCAGGAAUCAUCCUGGCUUGCCGGGGACUUUCUGGUUCUAGCGCCCAAAGUCUCAUGGCCUAGGAGACCCCCUCCGUCUGGGCAACCUGACACAGUUGGUGGCUCUGCCUGGGACCGGCUCGGCAGACACAGCCCCAGCUCCUGGGACGGCUGACGGCCUGUCUUCCGCAGAGAAAUAAACUUGUGUCUCGUUAAAGCCGCGGUUAUUUCCGUCUCUAUCAAAGUAGCUAAACCAGUAUUCCGAGUC